Molecule: ribosomal RNA, 497 nt
Filed under: uncultured bacterium
Lineage: Bacteria
Description: partial 16S ribosomal RNA
Rfam family: Bacterial small subunit ribosomal RNA
Source: RNAcentral
GAUGAACGCUGGCGGCGUGCCUAAUACAUGCAAGUCGAGCGAACAGACGAGGAGCUUGCUCCUCUGACGUUAGCGGCGGACGGGUGAGUAACACGGGGAUAACCUACCUAUAAGACUGUGAUAACUUCGGGAAACCGGAGCUAAUACCGGAGAAUAUAUUGAACCGCAUGGUUCAAUAGUGAAAGACGGUUUUGCUGUCACUUGUAGAUGGAUCCGCGCCGGAUUAGCUAGUUGGUAAGGUAAGGGCUUACCAAGGCGACGAUCAGUAGCCGACCUGAGGGGGUGACCGGCCACACUGGAACUGAGACACGGUCCAGACUCCUACGGGAGGCAGCAGUAGGGAAUCUUGCGCAAUGGGCGAAAGCCUGACGGAGCAACGCCGCGUGAGUGAUGAAGGUCUUCGGAUCGUAAAGCUCUGUUAUUAGGGAAGAACAAAUGUGUAAUUAAAUAGGCGCGUCUUGACGGUACCUAAUCAGAAAGCAACGGCUAACUACGUG